This is a microRNA precursor of Nicotiana attenuata, 79 nucleotides long. It matches the Rfam family "MIR6152 microRNA precursor family". Lineage: Eukaryota; Viridiplantae; Streptophyta; Magnoliopsida; Solanales; Solanaceae. The record is from Rfam.
UGGACAGAUUAUUGUAUUCGACUGUAUUCACGGCCUUGUUUUUAAACGGAAAGUGAAUCAAUUAACAUAAUAGACUCCU